This 506-nucleotide ribosomal RNA is filed under the name uncultured bacterium. Its description in RNAcentral is "partial 16S ribosomal RNA". It matches the Rfam family "Bacterial small subunit ribosomal RNA", at positions 28 to 523 of the family's 1533-position model. The record is from RNAcentral.
GAUGAACGCUAGCUACAGGCUUAACACAUGCAAGUCGAGGGGUAACGAGAGGAAAGCUUGCUUUCCUUGUCGACGACCGGCGCACGGGUGAGUAACGCGUAUCCAACCUGCCCCCAACUAGGGAAUAACCUUGCAAAAGUAAGACUAAUACCCUAUAAUUUCCUCAGAUGUCAUCUGACGAGGAAUAAAGAUUUAUCGGUUGUGGAUGGGGAUGCGUCUGAUUAGCUUGUUGGCGGGGUAACGGCCCACCAGGGCAACGAUCAGUAGGGGUUCUGAGAGGAAGGUCCCCCACAUUGGAACUGAGACACGGUCCAAACUCCUACGGGAGGCAGCAGUGAGGAAUAUUGGUCAAUGGGCGGAAGCCUGAACCAGCCAAGUAGCGUGCAGGAUGACGGCCCUAUGGGUUGUAAACUGCUUUUAUACAGGAAUAAAGUUAGCCACGUGUGGUUAUUUGUAGGUACUGUAUGAAUAAGGACCGGCUAAUUCCGUGCCAGCACCCGCCGUAA